AGCUUUGCGCAGUGGCAGUAUCGUAGCCAACGAGGUUUAUCCGAGGCGCGAUUAUUGCUAAUAGUCCUACCAGACUAUUAGGAAUAGUCUGUAGUUUGUAGUCCAAACUA
RNAcentral lists this small nuclear RNA (110 nucleotides) under Zalophus californianus (California sea lion). RNAcentral's name for it is "U4 spliceosomal RNA (ENSZCAG00015011747.1)". It matches the Rfam family "U4 spliceosomal RNA". Rfam says of the family: U4 small nuclear RNA (U4 snRNA) is a component of the major U2-dependent spliceosome. The structure of U4 snRNA from yeast and human has been reported. The record is from RNAcentral. Lineage: Eukaryota; Metazoa; Chordata; Mammalia; Carnivora; Otariidae.